CUCCACACGGCUUCAGCGUUAACGAUAGUAUUGACCCGGAUCAAUUUUCCCUACAGUACAUCAAAUUUGACGAUGUCCUCGCAAUGGUGGCCAAACUUGCCAGGGGUGCUUUGAUGGCAAAGUUUGACGUUCAAAGCGCAUACCGCAAUGUGGCUGUUCUACCCUCCCAACGCUACCUGCUUGGCAUGAAGUGGCGGGGAAAGUUUUAUGUUGACCUGGUAUUACCUUUUGGUUUACGUUCGGCACCGUUCAUUUUUAAUUCGAUAGCGGAUCUCGUAGAUACGGGACCUCUUGCAUUACCUCGACGAUUACAUAACCGCUGGCCCCCCUUGCCGUCCUGAUUGCGCACGGAAUUUAGUCGUCGCGUCCUCGGUGUGCCAAAGUUUAGGCCUACCAUUGCAUCCGGACAAAACCGUGAGUCCAACUACAUGCUUGAUCGUCCUGGGUAUUGAACUUGAUUCUGUGCUACAAAUCGCGCGUCUUCCCGCCACCAAAUUACUAGCUCUCAAGGGUCUUUUCACGGAAUGGAGCGCGAGGAAGUGGUGUACACGCGUACAAUUGGAGUCGCUGAUAGGCAAACUCCAUCAUGCUUGCCUCGUUGUUUGGCCCGGUCGUACGUUUCUCCGUCGGAUGAUUAAUUUGCUGUGCGCGUUUCGGAGCCGUGAUCAUCCAAUCCGACUUAAUGUCGAAUUCCGUUUAGAUCUCCAGUGGUGGAUCGAGUUUCUAGACGAUUGGAACGGGACAAGUUUCAUCCUGCUCCCAGGUCUCAUGCCCGUGGCGGACUUAUGUGUUACAUCCGAUGCUGCUGGCGCUAUCGGUUACGGUGCAUUAUAUCACCAACAAUGGUUCAGCCAUAAAUGGAUGCCCUCUCAAAUGCCAAUGUCGAUUGCCUACAAAGAGUUCUUUCCAGUCGUUAUUGCCGCUCAUCUCUGGGGUGAUCAGUGGGCCCACCGACGGGUUUGCUUCCGUUUGGACAACUCUUCCGUGGUCCACAUUUUAAAUGCGCGUACCUCUCGGGAUCACCACAUUAUGGGUUUAGUACGUUCGCUCCUUAGUGUAGCUGCCCGGUUUAACUUUACUUUCCAAG
Molecule: long non-coding RNA, 1087 nt
Filed under: Paramuricea clavata
Lineage: Eukaryota; Metazoa; Cnidaria; Anthozoa; Malacalcyonacea; Plexauridae
Source: RNAcentral